GCCCACCAACACGAACCCAGUGGGCUCAGAUGCUCUGUCGAGAGAGACAAAGUAGAAACAGAUUUCAGUGAGUUAAUGGAGAUAAAACCUGCUUUCUCUCAGGCCCCCAGUGCAGCAUCUGUCUCCCCGUUCCCCAUCCACCGGGCUGGCUCCUGUGGCCCUCAGCUUGGGUCCCCAAGACAUCCUGAUCCGUCAGGCCAGCAGGCAGUGACGUCGCAGGCCGUGCUCUGCUCUCUGGAGGUGCCUGCUCCAGCUGCUGGGAGAUGCCCACUGCCCCACAGGCUCUGGAUCCUCUGACACUUGUUCAGUCAGAUGUGCCAGCUCUGGCCCAGGGCCCUCCCGCCAGCUCACAAAAAAGCAGGCACACUCCCGUGUUACUGCUGGGAGCACAAAAUGGUGUGACUCCUACGCCAGGAAUUUUGUGGCAUCAAAUGACCCACGAAGUUGCCUCUUGACCCGGCACUUCUGUGUCUGGGAGUUACAGUGUUGCUGAGCACACUGUAAUGGAAGACUGGAAACCCCCAGAAUUCUUCAGGGACGCAGUGAUAUCAACAAGGGUGUGUCCGCAUAAUGGAAGGGUAUGCAGCCAUUUAAAAAUGGGGAAGUUUUCCAGGUACUGGAUAUCACGUGGUCCCCAGAAUGUGUUAAGUGAAAAAAGAUGUGAAAUCAUAGAACACCAUGUCAUACCUGGGAACUGGACUAUGUUACCUGGGAGUGUGGCAGGUGAGCCCACUUUCAUUGUGGUAGAGACCAACCUUCCAGACAGGAGGGCAUGAGUUGAGGGUGGGGGCAGGGGCAGGAAGAGGGUCACUCAAGAGACACCCCCCCAGGACAUGGGACCUGCAGAGGCCUGGGCCAUCUGGGGUAGGCUGGAACACUGGGGGCUCAGAAGGAGGAGAUGGCCAAUGCCAAACGCCCCACCACCUUCCAGCCUGCUCAAGAGCCAACUCCCCUCUUUGCAAAAUGAACACCUCCCCACCCCCACCCCUGCCCCAUGAUGAGGUUAGUGGGAAGGGAGGAGGGAGGAGCCAGGCCAAGGGCCAGUGACUGACUCUCAGCCCCAUACACAGGGAUUGCAGCUGGGAAACUAGAGGCCCCAAGGGCACCCCCAGCCCCGAUUAUCUCUGGGUUCUCCUCAAGCCCAACCAGGGUUGCUGUGGUUUCCUGCUGGCGCCUCUGGCCUCAACAAACCCCAGCCCCCCCAUGCUGCACUAAUGGCUCAGCCUGGGGCUCCAGGGACCUCCCCACCCCCCAGGCUGCUCUGCCAGCCCCCAUGCCCCUCACUGCUGAAACCCAAUCCUCUGCGGCAGCUCUGGCUCAGCAGAGCAGCAGACCAGCCCAGCCGGCCACGCAGGCUGCACCCUACCUGCUCAGCUGCGGAGCCCCCAGCCCAGCCCCGGCCCGUGGAGCCACAGCCUAUUCCCGGACGAGGCCAGCUGGACCCUUCAGGUCACUACAUCCAACCCAGCCAAGGCCAGUGCCUCCCCACCUCCCUUUCAGCGGGGGCCAUGAAGCCCCCCUCAGGGCCGGAGGAGGCCCGGCGGCAGGCCUCGGACAUCAGUGUGUUCGCCAGCAGCUGCACGCUACACGGGCUGAGCCAUGUCUUUGGUCGAGGAAGCCUGACCCCGCGCCGGGGGCUGUGGGCCGUGGCCAUGCUCCUGUCGAUGGCUGCCUUCCUCUACCAGGUGGCAGAGAGGGUGCGCUACUACGGGGAGUUCCAUCACGAGACGGCCCUGGACGAGCGCGAAAGCCACCAGCUCACCUUCCCGGCCAUCACCCUGUGCAACAUCAACCCGCUGCGCCGCUCACGUCUCACGCCCAACGAUCUGCACUGGGCCGGGCCCUCGCUGCUAGGCCUGGAGCCCUCUGAGCACGCCGCCUUCCUGCGCGCGCUGGGCCAGCCCCCGACACCACCCGGCUUCAUGCCCAGCCCCACCUUCGACAUGGCCCGACUCUACACCCGGGCUGGGCACACCCUGGAGGACAUGCUGCUGGACUGUCGCUACCGCGGCCGACCCUGCGGGCCUGAGAACUUCACUGCGAUCUUUACCAGGAUGGGUCAGUGCUACACCUUCAACUCCGGUGCAGAUGGGGCAGAGCUUCUCACCACCCCCAAGGGCGGAGCAGGCAAUGGGCUGGAGAUCAUGCUGGAUGUGCAGCAGGACGAGUACCUGCCCGUGUGGAAGGACAUGGAGGAGACCCCGUUUGAGGUGGGGAUCCGAGUGCAGAUCCACACCCAGGAGGAGCCACCUAGCAUCGACCAGCUGGGCUUUGGGGCAGCCCCUGGCUACCAGGUUUUUGUGUCUUGCCAGCAGCAGCAACUGAGCUUCCUGCCACCACCCUGGGGCGACUGCAGCUCCGCAUCCCUAGACCCCGACUUUGAGCCAGAACCCGCUGGUCCCCUGGGUCCCCCCAGCCCCAGCCCGGGCCCCAGCCCUCCCUAUAGUCUAAUGGGGUGUCGCCUGGCCUGCGAAACCCGCUAUGUGGCUCGGAAGUGCGGCUGCCGAAUGAUGCACAUGCCUGGUAGCGCACCGGUGUGCAGCCCGCAGCAGUACAAGGACUGCGCCAACCCCACGCUGGGUAAGGGGCCAGCUCCCUGCACCCCGCCCCCGCCGCGCUGGGCCCGGGACCCCACCCCACAGGGCAGGCAGCCUGACCCAGACGACUGUGGCCCGCAGACGCCAUGCUGCGGAAGGACUCGUGCGUGUGCCCCAACCCGUGCGCCAUCACGCGCUACGCCAAGGAGCUCUCUAUGGUGCGGAUGCCCAGCCGCGCCGCUGCCCGCUACCUGGCCCGGAAAUACAACCGCAGCGAGGCCUACAUCGCGGAGAACGUACUGGUGCUGGACAUCUUCUUUGAGGCCCUCAACUACGAGACAGUGGAGCAGAAGAAGGCCUAUGAGGUGUCAGAGCUGCUAGGCGACAUUGGGGGCCAGAUGGGGCUGUUCAUCGGGGCCAGCCUGCUCACCAUCCUUGAGAUCCUGGACUACCUCUGCGAGGCCUUCCACCCCUCCCUGUGCCGUCACCAGGACUCUUUCUG
RNA transcript from Myotis myotis, 3039 nucleotides. It is a transcript of the gene named acid sensing ion channel subunit 3, with no coding region annotated. The record is from RefSeq and is a predicted model, not a curated record. Lineage: Eukaryota; Metazoa; Chordata; Mammalia; Chiroptera; Vespertilionidae. The transcript is spliced from 9 exons.